Molecule: small RNA, 62 nt
Filed under: Thermotalea metallivorans
Lineage: Bacteria; Bacillati; Bacillota; Clostridia; Peptostreptococcales; Thermotaleaceae
Description: RAGATH-18 RNA
Rfam family: RAGATH-18 RNA
About the family: Actinobacteria, Firmicutes, Fusobacteria, Thermotogae (1 example).
Source: Rfam by way of RNAcentral
CCUUUGGAGUGUCAGAGAAACACAAGUAGGUUUAUCUGAAAGUGGACACGAUGAACAAGGAA